GCCAGCAGCUAGCUCUCUGCAACUCUCACAUGGUUGCCCACUGAAGCCAAGCAGGGCUGCGCCCGGUCAGUACCUGGAUGGGAGACCACAUGGGAAAGCUAGGUUGCUGCCGGAA
RNAcentral lists this ribosomal RNA (115 nucleotides) under Danio rerio (zebrafish). The record is from RNAcentral. Lineage: Eukaryota; Metazoa; Chordata; Actinopteri; Cypriniformes; Danionidae.